GAAGCUUGGCUUCUCCUUCUGUUGAGUUGCCUGGUUGUUGGUUCUACCGCCAUCUGCUGCUGGCAGCUGUACCUCUCCCUGAGCAGGACCGCCCUGUUCCCCUUGCUGCAAUUGUAGAGUCUCCAUCCAAUUCCAGCACGAGUGACUUGAGCGUGGGAAAGGUGUUGCAGGUGUACUUGCGGACCCAACGAGCCUGGAAGAUGGGGUGGUGGGGGGCGGAGGGCGCAAUGGUGGAGGCAGCGAAGGAGGAGGAGGAAGGCAAGGAUGGGAAGGUGGAGAGUGCAAGAGAGAUGGCAGGGGUGGAAGCCACCAAGGAUCUAUCUACAUGA
This 329-nucleotide long non-coding RNA is filed under the name Oryza sativa aromatic subgroup. RNAcentral's name for it is "lncRNA OsARC_07g0000060". Lineage: Eukaryota; Viridiplantae; Streptophyta; Magnoliopsida; Poales; Poaceae. The record is from RNAcentral.